GCCUGGGUGGCGAAAUGGUAAACGCAUCAGACUCAAAAUCUGACGGAGUCAUCCUUAAGGGUUCAAGUCCCUUCCUAGGCACCA
Molecule: transfer RNA, 84 nt
Rfam family: tRNA
About the family: Transfer RNA (tRNA) molecules are approximately 80 nucleotides in length.